This 399-nucleotide ribosomal RNA is filed under the name Triticum aestivum (bread wheat). RNAcentral's name for it is "partial small subunit ribosomal RNA". The record is from RNAcentral. Lineage: Eukaryota; Viridiplantae; Streptophyta; Magnoliopsida; Poales; Poaceae.
AUGGUUUUUGAUAGGAUAGAUGUGUGGGUUAAGAUAUCUGAUCUCCCACCUGGCAAGAGGACGGAGGCUUUCGGGAAGGCGUUAGGCAACUGGCUUGGUGAAGUGGUCAAGGUGGAUGUGGACAAGGAUGGGAUAGCUAGAGGGAGCCAACUACGGGUCAGAGCAAGGAUCAUGCUAUUUGAGCCGUUGGUGCGAGGGUUUCUGCUCAAAAACUCUCAGGAGGACAAAGUGGGUACUUGGUACGAUUUUCACUAUGAGAAGAUCCCUCACUUUUGCUUUGAGUGUGGGCGAUUGGUACAUGAACACGGUCGAUGUGAUCCUCCUGUUGAUAAGGCUGCACAAUGGGGGGCUGGCUUAGAGCAUCACCGGGAAGGAGCACUGGCUCCAAGACCGAUGUGA